RNA transcript from Leopardus geoffroyi (Geoffroy's cat), 2063 nucleotides. RefSeq lists it as uncharacterized. The transcript has 3 exons. The record is from RefSeq and is a predicted model, not a curated record. NCBI's taxonomy places the organism in Eukaryota, Metazoa, Chordata, Mammalia, Carnivora, Felidae.
ACCCCCCCCCCUCCCACCCACCCCACCCACCCACCCCUCCCCCACACCCCCGCCCCCUGCCCUUCCCGAGGGCAGCAGCCGUGGCCCGGAGAUAAGCGCUAGCGCGGCGCAGGGCUCUGCCUGGGCUAGUGGCACCGACUUGGGCAGAAACUCUUAAAAUCCUGGCAGCCAAGAGAGAAGUAACCUGGGGGAAAUGGACACAAGUCCAGGCAGUGAAGUGGGAUGCGCUGGGCUCAGGUACGUACUAGGAUGCCUAGAAACCCGGGUCUCCAGCUUUUCUAUGCCUACUUCAUAGUACAGACGGGGCAGCUCACUCACAGGAAAAGACAGAUAAAACUCUGACCCCAACACAAACCGACAUCUAUAAUGUUUUCUUCUCUAAUUAGUGGUAUGCAGGGACACUGAGCAAAGGAAAGGCCUGGGUGUGCCCCGCAAUACUGCCACAACUUUAAGGAGGAUGGUCUUUCUCUCUUCUAAUGCCUCCCUCCACUCUCCAGCGAACUCUGCAAGGGUAUGUGUGUGGCAAAAAGAGAAAUGGAGCUUUCAUGCAAUUCCAAGGUGUCAACGGCCAGUCCUUCUCAAAGGAAGGUGUUAAAAAUAUAAGUAGUAUGUUUAAACUGUCAGGGAGCCAAAGUGUCACCUUAAAGCAAAAACAAAGCCAAGGGAAAAGGGAGAAAUCAAAAAGCACUCCUGGCCAGGGUGGCCUCAUGCAUACCAAUGGUUUUUGUCAUUUAUGGCUGGGCAAGAUUUAUGACUCGGCGCCCCAAAGCUGUAAACAGAGCACAAAACAGCAAACACUUGCUCCUUAUGGCAUAUUGCGGCAGCGCAACUUAAAAGGGGGAGCCGGGCGGCGUAGGAGGUGAGAGCCGCCGCAAAAAUCGCUCGGCUGCAUUUUCUCUUCAAACUGGCCUGGUCGGAUGUGGCAUUUGAAGAAAGAAGGCGUGGGUCAAUAAUCAACCCGCACUUUCUCCUCCAAACUGCUGACACGACUCUCACCGCCUUCUCAGCUAAGCCAGCUGCAGGGAAGGCCAGCUUUCCGUGAGAACCUGCCAGGGGAGGGGACCGCCUGGGCCAAGAGGGCCGAGGGUUCCGAGUAGGAAAAGAAAACGCAGAGACCUGGGAAACGCGUGCUUUUCCCGUAGGAAAAAGAGCAGUUCCGCCCACCUAAAGGAACGGAGAAGACCCGCUGCCUGCGACGGUCUACACAUUCGAAAGGCAGCAACCUCCCUCUUGCCGCGGAAAGGCAAAAGGAUAGGAGAAACUGCAAGGCGGCGAGACAAGUUUCCUCAAGGCAGAUCUGUGACUGACGACCAUUCCCGAACUCACAGUCUCCGCGGGCGCCGCAAACAGUCGACAGGGAGCGCGGCCCACGCAGCGGCCGCCGCACCCGUGGCCUCUACUUGCUUCUGCCCUGCUGCUCGGUGUAGGGGUUUGUUUGGAGCUCGCUCGAAGAAACAAACACGCUCCUCUGACACCCCCGGCCGCCCCCGCACGCACAUCUUUGGUCUCUGCAACCGCCCCGCCUGCACAGUGCCUGCCGUUUUUCGGGGCAGACUCUUUGUCUGCCUGAAACCCCGCAUUCCCGGGGCGUGCAGCUCAAGAGAACCCAGCUCCAAAACGUCUCCGAGGUUAAAUAUUGACCAGAACCUCCUUCAAGGGGCUGCAGCUGCCUGGACGAGGAAACUCCUUCCAAAGGCCCGUGCAAAGCCCGGAGGAGUGAAGAGCUGGCGCAGCGCUUACCUCGAAAGAUGUUUAAGACUGAACCAGUGAUUGUCUCCAACUCCGGGCACUCAGGGAAUCGCCUUUUCCGGUGUCCUGGCGCUCUGCGGACAAAUAAACAGCAGAGAGUAAACGGUGGCUGCGAAGGAAGGGAGCUGGAGAACCGGAGUUGGAAGUACGGCCCUGCGCGGGCGCCAGGGUGGCCCCCGGGGUGACGCGGACACGGAGGAGUCGCCAGGGCACUCGUCCAUGAGGCGCACUCGUUGCUCGAAAGGGUCCAGUCUAAGAAUGGCCUGCAGAUGAUGAUUUAUUUUUGUAAAAUAAAUACAUACUCCAUCUCCGCA